GCGUUCGUAGUGUAGUGGUCAGCACGCUCGACACGAAUUCGAGAGGUCCAUGGUUCGAUUCCCGGCCAAGGCA
RNAcentral lists this transfer RNA (73 nucleotides) under Stegodyphus dumicola. Its description in RNAcentral is "tRNA-Ser". It matches the Rfam family "tRNA". Rfam says of the family: Transfer RNA (tRNA) molecules are approximately 80 nucleotides in length. Their secondary structure includes four short double-helical elements and three loops (D, anti-codon, and T loops). The record is from RNAcentral. Lineage: Eukaryota; Metazoa; Arthropoda; Arachnida; Araneae; Eresidae.